Non-coding RNA from Cordylochernes scorpioides, 73 nucleotides. The record is from the annotation of a GenBank genome assembly. NCBI's taxonomy places the organism in Eukaryota, Metazoa, Arthropoda, Arachnida, Pseudoscorpiones, Chernetidae.
UGGCGAAAUGUGGUUUCGAACCAGGUACAUUUAGUUCCUCAGUCUAAAGCUUUCACAGCUGAGCUAUUCCGCC